RNAcentral lists this ribosomal RNA (452 nucleotides) under uncultured Bacteroidota bacterium. RNAcentral describes it as "bacterial SSU rRNA". It matches the Rfam family "Bacterial small subunit ribosomal RNA", at positions 1077 to 1533 of the family's 1533-position model. The record is from RNAcentral. Lineage: Bacteria; Pseudomonadati; Bacteroidota.
UGGGUAGUCCGCACGAGCGCACCCUAUUGUUAGCUGCCAUCAUUCAGUUGGGCACUCUAGCGAGACUGCCGGUAAUAAACCGGAGGAAGGUGGGGAUGACGUCAAAUCAUCAUGCCCCUUAUGACCUGGGCUACACACGUGCUACAAUGGCUGGUACAACGAGUCGCAAGCCGGUGACGGCAAGCUAAUCUCUUAAAGCCAGUCUCAGUUCGGAUUGUAGGCUGCAACUCGCCUACAUGAAGUCGGAAUCGCUAGUAAUCGCGGAUCAGCACGCCGCGGUGAAUACGUUCCCGGGCCUUGUACACACCGCCCGUCACACCACGAGAGUUUGUAACACCCGAAGUCGGUGAGGUAACCGUAAGGAGCCAGCCGCCUAAGGUGGGAUAGAUGAUUGGGGUGAAGUCGUAACAAGGUAGCCGUAUCGGAAGGUGCGGCUGGAUCACCUCCUUUCU